AGCGUACACGGUGGAUGCCCUGGCAGUCAGAGGCGAUGAAGGGCGUGCUAAUCUGCGAUAAGCGCCGGUAAGGUGAUAUGAACCGUUAUAACCGGCGAUACCCGAAUGGGGAAACCCAGUGUGAUUCGUCACACUAUCAUUAACUGAAUCCAUAGGUUAAUGAGGCGAACCGGGGGAACUGAAACAUCUAAGUACCCCGAGGAAAAGAAAUCAACCGAGAUUCCCCCAGUAGCGGCGAGCGAACGGGGAGGAGCCCAGAGCCUGAAUCAGCAUGUGUGUUAGUGGAAGCGUCUGGAAAGUCGCGCGAUACAGGGUGACAGCCCCGUACACAAAAGCGCAUGUGUUGUGAGCUCGAUGAGUAGGGCGGGACACGUGGUAUCCUGUCUGAAUAUGGGGGGACCAUCCUCCAAGGCUAAAUACUCCUGACUGACCGAUAGUGAACCAGUACCGUGAGGGAAAGGCGAAAAGAACCCCGGCGAGGGGAGUGAAAAAGAACCUGAAACCGUGUACGUACAAGCAGUGGGAGCACAGGUUUACCUGUGUGACUGCGUACCUUUUGUAUAAUGGGUCAGCGACUUAUAUUCUGUAGCAAGGUUAACCGAAUAGGGGAGCCGGAGGGAAACCGAGUCUUAAUUGGGCGUUAAGUUGCAGGGUAUAGACCCGAAACCCGGUGAUCUAGCCAUGGGCAGGUUGAAGGUUGGGUAACACUAACUGGAGGACCGAACCGACUAAUGUUGAAAAAUUAGCGGAUGACCUGUGGCUGGGGGUGAAAGGCCAAUCAAACCGGGAGAUAGCUGGUUCUCCCCGAAAGCUAUUUAGGUAGCGCCUCGUGAAUUCAUCUCCGGGGGUAGAGCACUGUUUCGGCUAGGGGGCCAUCCCGGCUUACCAACCCGAUGCAAACUGCGAAUACCGGAGAAUGUUAUCACGGGAGACACACGGCGGGUGCUAACGUCCGUCGUGAAGAGGGAAACAACCCAGACCGCCAGCUAAGGUCCCAAAGUCAUGGUUAAGUGGGAAACGAUGUGGGAAGGCCCAGACAGCCAGGAUGUUGGCUUAGAAGCAGCCAUCAUUUAAAGAAAGCGUAAUAGCUCACUGGUCGAGUCGGCCUGCGCGGAAGAUGUAACGGGGCUAAACCAUGCACCGAAGCUGCGGCAGCGACACUGUGUGUUGUUGGGUAGGGGAGCGUUCUGUAAGCCUGUGAAGGUGUGUCGUGAGGCAUGCUGGAGGUAUCAGAAGUGCGAAUGCUGACAUAAGUAACGAUAAAGCGGGUGAAAAGCCCGCUCGCCGGAAGACCAAGGGUUCCUGUCCAACGUUAAUCGGGGCAGGGUGAGUCGACCCCUAAGGCGAGGCCGAAAGGCGUAGUCGAUGGGAAACGGGUUAAUAUUCCCGUACUUGGUGUUACUGCGAAGGGGGGACGGAGAAGGCUAUGUUGGCCGGGCGACGGUUGUCCCGGUUUAAGCGUGUAGGUGUGUGUUCCAGGUAAAUCCGGUUCACUUUAACACUGAGGCGUGACGACGAGGCACUACGGUGCUGAAGCAACAAAUGCCCUGCUUCCAGGAAAAGCCUCUAAGCAUCAGGUAACAUCAAAUCGUACCCCAAACCGACACAGGUGGUCAGGUAGAGAAUACCAAGGCGCUUGAGAGAACUCGGGUGAAGGAACUAGGCAAAAUGGUGCCGUAACUUCGGGAGAAGGCACGCUGACACGUAGGUGAAGUGAUUUACUCAUGGAGCUGAAGUCAGUCGAAGAUACCAGCUGGCUGCAACUGUUUAUUAAAAACACAGCACUGUGCAAACACGAAAGUGGACGUAUACGGUGUGACGCCUGCCCGGUGCCGGAAGGUUAAUUGAUGGGGUCAGCGCAAGCGAAGCUCCUGAUCGAAGCCCCGGUAAACGGCGGCCGUAACUAUAACGGUCCUAAGGUAGCGAAAUUCCUUGUCGGGUAAGUUCCGACCUGCACGAAUGGCGUAAUGAUGGCCAGGCUGUCUCCACCCGAGACUCAGUGAAAUUGAACUCGCUGUGAAGAUGCAGUGUACCCGCGGCAAGACGGAAAGACCCCGUGAACCUUUACUAUAGCUUGACACUGAACAUUGAGCCUUGAUGUGUAGGAUAGGUGGGAGGCUUUGAAGCGUGGACGCCAGUCUGCGUGGAGCCGACCUUGAAAUACCACCCUUUAAUGUUUGAUGUUCUAACGUGGACCCGUGAUCCGGGUUGCGGACAGUGUCUGGUGGGUAGUUUGACUGGGGCGGUCUCCUCCUAAAGAGUAACGGAGGAGCACGAAGGUUGGCUAAUCCUGGUCGGACAUCAGGAGGUUAGUGCAAUGGCAUAAGCCAGCUUGACUGCGAGCGUGACGGCGCGAGCAGGUGCGAAAGCAGGUCAUAGUGAUCCGGUGGUUCUGAAUGGAAGGGCCAUCGCUCAACGGAUAAAAGGUACUCCGGGGAUAACAGGCUGAUACCGCCCAAGAGUUCAUAUCGACGGCGGUGUUUGGCACCUCGAUGUCGGCUCAUCACAUCCUGGGGCUGAAGUAGGUCCCAAGGGUAUGGCUGUUCGCCAUUUAAAGUGGUACGCGAGCUGGGUUUAGAACGUCGUGAGACAGUUCGGUCCCUAUCUGCCGUGGGCGCUGGAGAACUGAGGGGGGCUGCUCCUAGUACGAGAGGACCGGAGUGGACGCAUCACUGGUGUUCGGGUUGUCAUGCCAAUGGCACUGCCCGGUAGCUAAAUGCGGAAGAGAUAAGUGCUGAAAGCAUCUAAGCACGAAACUUGCCCCGAGAUGAGUUCU
This 2776-nucleotide ribosomal RNA is filed under the name Salmonella enterica subsp. enterica serovar Stanley. RNAcentral's name for it is "bacterial LSU rRNA". It matches the Rfam family "Bacterial large subunit ribosomal RNA". Lineage: Bacteria; Pseudomonadati; Pseudomonadota; Gammaproteobacteria; Enterobacterales; Enterobacteriaceae. The record is from RNAcentral.